CGCAAACAAACCACGCAUUAAGUCGAUCGCUAACCCUACCCACAACGCACGCACGACCUCUCGCCCCCGCAUCCUCCCGCACGGGCCGUUCCUCCACGCCCGCACGACCUCUCGCCAUCUCCUCCUCCCGCACGGGCCAUUCGCCGCCCCGCCGUUCCUCCCGCGGCCGUCAACCGCAGCCGCAGCCCCCCGCCGCUCAGCUUGGCGGAGCCGCCGGAGCCACCCCCUUCGCCGCCAUCCAGUAGCUGGCAACCGGCGCGCUCCGAAGUCGCCGCCGGUGGGCCGCCGCAAGACCACCGUCGGCCGCGUCCAUACCCUCAUCCAUCUGCAUACCCCCGGCUUCGUCUCCUCCGCGCCGAGGCCGUAUGCGCCCUUGAUCUGGACGGCAGUACCACCGGGGCGCAUCACCUUCUUGCGCCUCCCACAUCGGCCUCCAUCUCCAUGGUUGUCCUGCUCUGUACCCAAUGUCUGUCUAUAAGCUUCAUGUGCAUCAGUAGUCUUGAGCCACCAAUCUGGAUCGAACAGGUCGCAGGGGCUUGCCGGCAACACCUGAUCUUUGAUCUGGUUUGUAUGCAUGCGUGUGUGUGAUUAGUUUCAGCGGCCACAGGUCGUUGCAGUAAGACGAUGCAUCACGCAUUGAAUGGAACCAUAAGGCUAGGAGCGCGUGCACACACUGGCGUCGGCGGCACGGUGUCAAGCUGCGGAGAAGGCAUCCGGCGAGGCGGCCACCAGGUGGAUAAGUGGAUGGCACAUGUGUAUAUUGCCGUUGAGGGAUCAUAUUCGACAUUUUAUUUUUAUCCCAACACUAGAUUGAAGUGGUGAUUUACAAAAGAUUUUUAGUGGGGCACAAGUGUAGAUUGAUACAAAAGCAUGCUGAAUAGUGAAGUAGUACCAUGCUAGAAUUACUUGGCUGCAUUUUUUUGUUUCUUUGAUGCAAUGUAAUCUUUGUUGUUCCUGUUAUUAGUGAAUUUUCUAGAACAUCGGAUAAGCACUAUGCUAAAAAAAAAGCUAUUCUAGAAAAGGAUGAGAAGAGCUAUUCCAGAAAAGGAUGAGAAGAGCCUCAAGGUACACUAUUUUUAUUCUUCCAGUGUGUAUUACAUAUUUUCUAGCUUGCAAUGCUUUAUAAGAUAUUUCAUAUGGAGGUCAACAUUGAAAAAAAAGGAGUAGUCAACUUGUGGAGAACAAUGUUAAUCAAGCUCUCAUGAUAUUUCCUCUGCUUCAAGAUGCUUUCUCAGCUAUUUGUUAACAUGCUUCUGAACUUUGAUUUUCUUUACUAAACUAGACCAUUGUGCAGGUGUUGGUUCAUGAUGGGUCGUCCUUCAAAAUCUUGACAAUUACCCUUGACACAACACAUGGGAUGUGCUCAAUCCUACUUAUUUUUGUCUGUUAUUUUAUAUAUGUUUUUCACCUCAGAGAUUUUAUUAAAUUUCAGUUGGGUUAUAACAAGAGAUGCAAAUAAAGAACUUUAUUAUGGGUUUUCAUAAAACAAAUAUGUACUUCCAAAUGCCUUGAAGGUUAUCGAUUAUAUGCAGCAAGGCCUUUUGAUUAAGUUGGCUCUUUUUUGACACCAAUUUAUAUGCAAGCUAUUUGAAUAUAUAUUUGCGGAAGAAAGUACAGAAGUGUGUUUGGGUGAGGCCAAGGUUAAACAUCUCACAUUUUGUUUCAGAAAUCAUCUCUACUUAAGUCCAAAAGGUCAUCAGGUGAUGAGAUGGAUGAACUCCCAGUUUGCAUUUAUUGGGAGCUAUGAAACUGCCUAUUACAUUGGAACUUGGUGAAGAAGACCUAUUCCUAUUUGAGUAUGUUGACAUUGACAAAAGGCAGCAAAGGGAACAAGUAUUGAAGGGGGCAUAAAGAACUAUGGGAGAAGCGUCCAUUUGAUAAGCUCAAAGUCAUUGGUUCGCACUACCGUGGUUAUAUCAAAGAUUCAAUGGGAAAGAAAGUUAGCUUGUUCACCAUCUUGACUGCAUUUUCAUUGUUUCUUAUUAGGCCUGAGAUGUAGAUAUACUGGUAGGCAUUCUUCACCCAUUAUGACUGAAGCCUGAUUAUCACAUUGUAUUGCCAUGCGUUACAAACUGUUUUUGAAAUGUAACUCCUGCCCAUCAUACGAGAACUUGGUUUAGAUUAUGAUUAUUCAUUUACAUAUCAUUAUUUAUACUCUUGUCUUAGAGUAAGAAAACUUGGUUCUUUGAAGUUCAGAUUAUGAGUUCACAAUUAGUUUAAUCCUGACCAUGCACAGUUUUUUGUAUAAAAUGGUGCGUAUUUUUUGUACAGAAAGAAGCGAGAGCACAUGGUAUGUAUAGUUUCUGCUUACCUCUGACCUUGGUUACUUUGAAUGAUUAUAUGCUUACUCACCGAGUAUAAUAGCUCAUUUUUUGUUCUUUGAAGAAUUGAACGUAUUACUAUACUCACUGGGUAUAAUAGCUCAAUUUUUGUUCUUUCUAACUACUAAGUGAUAAAAUGUUAUGCUGCAAUGUUUGGUUCUUGUUUUAGUGGAAAUUGGAGCUUUUACCUACAGUUUGCGGAAAUCUGUGUUUUGAAUACUUUGAAUGAGGCAGAGGUUAAAUGCUCUAUAAAUAAAGAGAGACAACAAGGAUUAGUGAGUUUAUGUCUUUGUUUGUACUGUUUUUAUACAAGGACAACAAUGAACGACAUAUGUACUUUUCAUCCUAUUUGUUUCUAGCAUGUAAAUGUAAGUAUUUCUUCAUGCACGUGAGAAACAAAAUAUUAGUUCUUACAUGUUUGAGGAUAUGUAUAACCAUAAUAUGUAAUGCAAUUGUGGUGAGGUAGAACGAGGAGGAGAGGUGUGUGAUGCUAGACAUAUUAGCAAAAAAUUUAGUUCCGUUGAUUACAUUCAUGAGUGUUCUUCCGUUGCAACAUACGGGCCUUGUUCACUUCCGUUACAAUAUGUUGAUCAAGGAUGAAGAGGUGGAUAAGUUUGUGGCUUUAGUUACUGAAUGUCCAGAUCUGGCUUGCUUCUCAACUAGGGCCUACAUUUAGAGAAGACAUAUUCAUAUGUACGUGAUUUAUAAGGUCCUUUUUCUAUACAUGUUUGCAAAGUUUGUCGGUAUAUUAUGCAGAGACAACUUGCCAUGGUUCUGUGUAGAUGUGUUCUUUAUUUCUCAAUUUCUUUUGCUUUAAAACGAUGUUGAUUGGCUGAAAGAAUGGUUCUGCAUGGUUUGCACUCACACCUACUUGAAUUUAGAGUUUCAUUAGCAAAUCCAUUUAGAACAGUGUUAACAUUUUACAUUUUUCUACAGAAAGUUGUACACUGCAGGGGUCUAUACCCACAAACCAAGGAAGGCAACUCAGAAGUUUCUCCCUGCCAAUAAUCAAGAUUCACAAGGAUAGGAGGGCAGAGAUAUCAUGCUGCCAUGGAACUGGUCCAUUUGUCAUUGCCUUUGCUGCUUUCAUGUUCCCUGAUAUUCAGUAGCCAUAUACUUUUAGGACUUCGGAUGUGAUUUCACAUGCGUCGCUGAUCAUAGUUGAUGCUUUUGUCGGUUCAGGGUGAGCUAUUUUGUGUACAGUUGCUAUUGGCCGUGGAAAGACUGGCUAUGCAUGGCUCUGUUUUAUUGAGCUUAGAUGAAAAUUUGAUGGACCACCUAAAUUCAUACGAAACAAACA
This is a long non-coding RNA of Triticum aestivum (bread wheat), 3621 nucleotides long. RefSeq lists it as uncharacterized. The transcript has 4 exons. NCBI's taxonomy places the organism in Eukaryota, Viridiplantae, Streptophyta, Magnoliopsida, Poales, Poaceae. The record is from RefSeq and is a predicted model, not a curated record.